GAUGAACGCUAGCUACAGGCUUAACACAUGCAAGUCGAGGGGUAACGAGAGGAAAGCUUGCUUUCCUUGUCGACGACCGGCGCACGGGUGAGUAACGCGUAUCCAACCUGCCCCCAACUAGGGAAUAACCUUGCGAAAGUAAGACUAAUACCCUAUAAUUUCCUCAGAUGACAUCUGACGAGGAAUAAAGAUUUAUCGGUUGUGGAUGGGGAUGCGUCUGAUUAGCUUGUUGGCGGGGUACCGGCCCACCAAGGCAACGAUCAGUAGGGGUUCUGAGAGGAAGGUCCCCCACAUUGGAACUGAGACACGGUCCAAACUCCUACGGGAGGCAGCAGUGAGGAAUAUUGGUCAAUGGGCGGAAGCCUGAACCAGCCAAGUAGCGUGCAGGAUGACGGCCCUAUGGGUCGUAAACUGCUUUUAUACAGGAAUAAAGUUAGCCACGUGUGGUUAUUUGUAGGUACUGUAUGAAUAAGGACCGGCUAAUUCCGUGCCAGCCGCCGCCGUAA
RNAcentral lists this ribosomal RNA (506 nucleotides) under uncultured bacterium. Its description in RNAcentral is "partial 16S ribosomal RNA". It matches the Rfam family "Bacterial small subunit ribosomal RNA", at positions 28 to 523 of the family's 1533-position model. The record is from RNAcentral.